GACGAACGCUGGCGGCGUGCUUAACACAUGCAAGUCGAACGGAAAGGCCCUGCUUUUGUGGGGUGCUCGAGUGGCGAACGGGUGAGUAACACGUGAGUAACCUGCCCUUGACUUUGGGAUAACUUCAGGAAACUGGGGCUAAUACCGGAUAGGAGCUCCUGCUGCACGGUGGGGGUUGGAAAGUUUCGGCGGUUGGGGAUGGACUCGCGGCUUAUCAGCUUGUUGGUGGGGUAGUGGCUUACCAAGGCUUUGACGGGUAGCCGGCCUGAGAGGGUGACCGGCCACAUUGGGACUGAGAUACGGCCCAGACUCCUACGGGAGGCAGCAGUGGGGAAUAUUGCACAAUGGGCGGAAGCCUGAUGCAGCAACGCCGCGUGCGGGAUGACGGCCUUCGGGUUGUAAACCGCUUUCGCCUGUGACGAAGCGUGAGUGACGGUAAUGGGUAAAGAAGCACCGGCUAACUACGUGCCAGCAGCCGCGGUGAUACGUAGGGUGCGAGCGUUGUCCGGAUUUAUUGGGCGUAAAGGGCUCGUAGGUGGUUGAUCGCGUCGGAAGUGUAAUCUUGGGGCUUAACCCUGAGCGUGCUUUCGAUACGGGUUGACUUGAGGAAGGUAGGGGAGAAUGGAAUUCCUGGUGGAGCGGUGGAAUGCGCAGAUAUCAGGAGGAACACCAGUGGCGAAGGCGGUUCUCUGGGCCUUUCCUGACGCUGAGGAGCGAAAGCGUGGGGAGCGAACAGGCUUAGAUACCCUGGUAGUCCACGCUGUAAACGGUGGGUACUAGGUGUGGGGUCCAUUCCACGGGUUCCGUGCCGUAGCUAACGCUUUAAGUACCCCGCCUGGGGAGUACGGCCGCAAGGCUAAAACUCAAAGGAAUUGACGGGGCCCCGCACAAGCGGCGGAGCAUGCGGAUUAAUUCGAUGCAACGCGUAUAACCUUACCUGGGUUUGACAUGGAUCGGGAGCGCUCAGAGAUGGGUGUGCCUCUUUUGGGGUCGGUUCACAGGUGGUGCAUGGCUGUCGUCAGCUCGUGUCGUGAGAUGUUGGGUUAAGUCCCGCAACGAGCGCAACCCUUGUUCACUGUUGCCAGCACGUUAUGGUGGGGACUCAGUGGAGACCGCCGGGGUCAACUCGGAGGAAGGUGGGGAUGACGUCAAGUCAUCAUGCCCCUUAUGUCCAGGGCUUCACGCAUGCUACAAUGGCUGGUACAGAGAGUGGCGAGCCUGUGAGGGUGAGCGAAUCUCGGAAAGCCGGUCUCAGUUCGGAUUGGGGUCUGCAACUCGACCUCAUGAAGUCGGAGUCGCUAGUAAUCGCAGAUCAGCAACGCUGCGGUGAAUACGUUCCCGGGGCU
RNAcentral lists this ribosomal RNA (1346 nucleotides) under uncultured bacterium. RNAcentral describes it as "bacterial SSU rRNA". It matches the Rfam family "Bacterial small subunit ribosomal RNA", at positions 28 to 1381 of the family's 1533-position model. The record is from RNAcentral.